UUCCAAAUGAUUAAACGUGUCUUCCUAGCGCUGGCCCUGGCGCCGUGCGCCCUUUCCCAGCUGCAGCUGGUGGCCUCCGGCCCUGGGGUGGGCAAAGUCUCCGAGCCCCUCACACUGACCUGCGCUGUCUCCGGGUUCCCCAUCAAUACCCGGUAUUACUACUGGCACUGGCUCCGGCAGCCUCCCGGAGAAGGGCUGGAAUCCAUGGGAUGGGUGUAUCCGUAUGACGGGGAUACCGGCUACGCCCCGUCUCUCCAAGGCCGGGUCACCAUCUCCGCAGACACCGCCAGGAACCAGUUCUCCCUGCAGCUCCGCUCGCUGACAGCUGCAGACACCGGCACCUAUUACUGCGCCAGGGGAGACACGGUGACACGGAGACAGGGGGCCUGGGACAAAAAGGGGGCGAGCCACACGCUUCGCCUCCCGGAGAGAAGGCACCUGACUCUGCCCCUGCGAUCCGCCCCCUCCCGCUGUCACUUGGAGGAGCCGCUUUGUGACCUUCCCCUGUUUAGACUGGUGGAAUUUGGCCCAGCAGUGGUGCAGCCCUCAGAGACUCUGCGACUCAACUGUGCUGUCUAUGGUUCCUACAUCACGGCUGGAGGGACCUUCUGGUAUUGGUUCAAGCAGAGUCCCAGGAACGGUCUGGAAUAG
Mauremys mutica (yellowpond turtle) is the source of this 651-nucleotide non-coding RNA. The record is from the annotation of a RefSeq genome assembly. NCBI's taxonomy places the organism in Eukaryota, Metazoa, Chordata, Testudines, Geoemydidae.